RNAcentral lists this transfer RNA (77 nucleotides) under Gammaproteobacteria bacterium. RNAcentral's name for it is "tRNA-Met". It matches the Rfam family "tRNA". Rfam says of the family: Transfer RNA (tRNA) molecules are approximately 80 nucleotides in length. Their secondary structure includes four short double-helical elements and three loops (D, anti-codon, and T loops). The record is from RNAcentral. Lineage: Bacteria; Pseudomonadati; Pseudomonadota; Gammaproteobacteria.
GGGCCUUUAGCUCAGUUGGUUAGAGCAAUCGACUCAUAAUCGAUUGGUCGCUGGUUCGAGUCCAGCAAGGCCCACCA